This is a long non-coding RNA of Sitophilus oryzae (rice weevil), 615 nucleotides long. RefSeq lists it as uncharacterized. Lineage: Eukaryota; Metazoa; Arthropoda; Insecta; Coleoptera; Curculionidae. The record is from RefSeq and is a predicted model, not a curated record. The transcript is spliced from 2 exons.
UUGUGUAUGUGUUUUGUGCAUAGUAGAGUAAAGCACGUGUCGUAAAACCUUGUUGUCACAGUUUCUCCAUGGCUAUUUUAUUGUUUUUAUUGGAUGUUUUGAUUUUGUAUUUUUUUUUGAUUCGAUUUUCUUAGUGUGUAGUGUCGGUUUAGUGUUUAUUUUGAUUACUUUUUAUUUAAAAACUAUAAAACAUGGUUCGUCAGUGCCAAAUUUGUAAGAAAUUGGACUAUUUAAGUCCUGGAACAACAUUCCACAGAUUAUGCUGCCAAAGUUUCCUGAAUACAAUUCCGACCACUCUGUAUAUCAAGAUAUCCCCCAUUACGUACUAGUUUUUCUUAAUAAUUUUCUAUACAUUUUCCAACGCCAAGAUGUACCAAGCGCAUACAAAUACAUCAAGCUUCAAACAAGCUUGCACGUUGACAGUAAUACCUACAGUAAUAUUGUAUUAUAUUAAUGUAAUAUUUUUGAACCAAUGUUCAAUAUUACUGUAGUAAUACUGUUUAUACUCAUGCCUUUUAUAUUUGUUUGAAUUUGGUGCAUAUUUCCAUUGAAUAAAGUAUAGUCACCAUUACCAUUAUUAUACUUACUCUAUAAUAAAGACAGUAACGAGUUAAA